UACGUAGGGUGCAAGCGUUGUCCGGAAUUAUUGGGCGUAAAGAGCUCGUAGGCGGUCUGUCGCGUCUGCUGUGAAAACUCGGGGCUUAACCCCGGGCCUGCAGUGGGUACGGGCAGACUAGAGUGCGGUAGGGGAGACUGGAAUUCCUGGUGUAGCGGUGAAAUGCGCAGAUAUCAGGAAGAACACCCGUGGCGAAGGCGGCUCUCUGGUACGUGACUGACGCUGAGACGCGAAAGCGUGGGGAGCGAACAGG
This 253-nucleotide ribosomal RNA is filed under the name uncultured bacterium. RNAcentral describes it as "partial 16S ribosomal RNA". It matches the Rfam family "Bacterial small subunit ribosomal RNA", at positions 524 to 776 of the family's 1533-position model. The record is from RNAcentral.